UACGUAGGUGGUUUAUUAAGUCAGAUGUGAAAGCCCCGGGCUUAACCUGGGAACUGCAUUUGAUACUGGUAGACUAGAGUAUGGCAGAGGGGGGUAGAAUUCCUAGUGUAGCGGUGAAAUGCGUAGAUAUUAGGAGGAAUACCAGUGGCGAAGGCGGCCCCCCUGGACCAAUACUGACACUGAGGUACGAAAGCGUGGGUAGCGAACA
RNAcentral lists this ribosomal RNA (208 nucleotides) under uncultured bacterium. RNAcentral describes it as "partial 16S ribosomal RNA". It matches the Rfam family "Bacterial small subunit ribosomal RNA", at positions 568 to 774 of the family's 1533-position model. The record is from RNAcentral.